GGGUCAGUAGGUUGGUCGUGCCACCGGUACGUACUGGUCUCACUGAUUCCUCCUUCCUGAAGAACCGUAAUGCCAUUAAUUUGGUGUUGCGGGGAAACAGGACUGUUGCUUUGAAAAAAUUAGAGUGUUUAAAGCAAGCUAACGCUUGAAUACACUAGCAUGGAAUAAUGAAAUAGGACGAUCGAUCCUAUUUUGUUGGUUUCUAGGAUUGACGUA
This 216-nucleotide ribosomal RNA is filed under the name Glomeromycotina sp. RNAcentral describes it as "partial small subunit ribosomal RNA". The stretch from base 40 to 216 matches the Rfam family "Eukaryotic small subunit ribosomal RNA", at positions 686 to 864 of the family's 1831-position model. Lineage: Eukaryota; Fungi; Glomeromycota. The record is from RNAcentral.